GGAUGAAGAACGUAGCGAAAUGCGAUAAGUAAUGUGAAUUGCAGAAUUCAGUGAAUCAUCGAAUCUUUGAACGCACAUUGCGCCCGCUAGUAUUCUGGCGGGCAUGCCUGUCCGAGCGUCAUUUCAACCCUCAAGCCCCCGGGCUUGGUGUUGGGGAUCGGCGAGCCUCCGCGCCCGCCGUCCCCUAAAUCUAGUGGCGGUCUCGCUGUAGCUUCCUCUGCGUAGUAGCACACCUCGCACUGGGAAACAGCGCGGCCACGCCGUUAAACCCCCAACUUCUGAACGUUUGACCUCGGAUCAGGUAGGAAUACCCGCUGAACUUAAGCAUAUCAAUAAGCGGAGGA
RNAcentral lists this unclassified non-coding RNA (344 nucleotides) under soil metagenome. Its description in RNAcentral is "partial contains 5.8S ribosomal RNA, internal transcribed spacer 2, and large subunit ribosomal RNA". The stretch from base 2 to 121 matches the Rfam family "5.8S ribosomal RNA", at positions 35 to 154 of the family's 154-position model. The record is from RNAcentral.